UCAUAUGCUUGUCUCAAAGAUUAAGCCAUGCAUGUCUCAGUACAAGCCAAAUUAAGGUGAAACCGCGAAAGGCUCAUUAAAUCAGUUAUGGUUCCUUAGAUUGUACCCACAUUUACUUGGAUAACUGUGGUAAUUCUAGAGCUAAUACAUGCAAACAGAGCUCCGACCGGAGACGGAAGGAGUGCUUUUAUUAGAUCAAAACCAAUCGGCGGCGGGUCUGUUUACGCAGUGCUCGUUCGUCGCAUUAUAUGGUGACUUCUGAAUAACUUUAUGCUGAUCGCACGGUCUUGCACCGGCGACAUAUCUUUCAAAUGUCUGCCUUAUCAACUGUCGAUGGUAGGUUCUGCGCCUACCAUGGUUGUAACGGGUAACGGGGAAUCAGGGUUCGAUUCCGGAGAGGGAGCCUGAGAAACGGCUACCACAUCCAAGGAAGGCAGCAGGCGCGCAAAUUACCCACUCCCGGCACGGGGAGGUAGUGACGAAAAAUAACGAUACGGGACUCAUCCGAGGCCCCGUAAUCGGAAUGAGUACACUUUAAAUCCUUUAACAAGGACCAAUUGGAGGGCAAGUCUGGUGCCAGCAGCCGCGGUAAUUCCAGCUCCAAUAGCGUAUAUUAAAGUUGCUGCGGUUAAAAAGCUCGUAGUUGAAUCUGUGUCCCGUGCUGUCGGUUCACCGCCCGCGGUGUUCAACUGGCACGAUCACGGGACGUCCUGCCGGUGGAUGUGUGUACAACUUUUUUUAUAUUCACCAUCACUUACUGUGUGUUUGUGUUGUGUGCUCUGUAUUUAAUGUUUGUGCAUCAUCCGACUAAUUAAUCCUGUCAUGGUGCUCUUAAUUGAGUGUCUAGAUGGGCCGGCACGUUUACUUUGAACAAAUUAAAGUGCUUAAAGCAGGCUAAAAUUAUGCCUAUAUACUGUGUGCAUGGAAUAAUGGAAUAGGACCUCGGUUCUAUUUUGUGGGUUUUCGGAACUCCGAGGUAAUGAUUAAUAGGGACAGAUGGGGGCAUUCGUAUUGCGACGUUAGAGGUGAAAUUCUUGGAUCGUCGCAAGACGGACAGAAGCGAAAGCAUUUGCCAAAAAUGUUUUCAUUAAUCAAGAACGAAAGUCAGAGGUUCGAAGGCGAUCAGAUACCGCCCUAGUUCUGACCAUAAACGAUGCCAGCUAGCGAUCUGCCGACGUUCCUCCGAUGACUCGGCAGGCAGCUUCCGGGAAACCAAAGCUUUUGGGUUCCGGGGGAAGUAUGGUUGCAAAGCUGAAACUUAAAGGAAUUGACGGAAGGGCACCACCAGGAGUGGAGCCUGCGGCUUAAUUUGACUCAACACGGGAAACCUCACCAGGCCCAGACACUGGAAGGAUUGACAGAUUGAGAGCUCUUUCUUGAUUCAGUGGGUGGUGGUGCAUGGCCGUUCUUAGUUGGUGGAGCGAUUUGUCUGGUUAAUUCCGAUAACGAACGAGACUCUAGCCUGCUAACUAGGCGUUACUUAACCGGUAUCUCGAAGGCUCGCAUCUUUCGUACUCUUCAUGUUAUUCAUUUCAUAUGUGUGCAUUUUUUCAGUUUGGUUGGUGCGCUUGACGUGUCUCCCAUCUGUUUUUAUGUUACUAUAUGUAUGGGUGCAUGUUUGAUCGGAAGUUUGCGGUUUUUACUACCGGCGUACAAUUGAAUCUUCUUAGAGGGACAGGCGGCUCCUAGCCGCACGAGAUUGAGCAAUAACAGGUCUGUGAUGCCCUUAGAUGUUGUGGGCCGCACGCGCGCUACACUGAAGGAAUCAGCGUGUCCUCCCUGGCCGAAUGGUCCGGGUAACCCGUUGAACCUCCUUCGUGCUAGGGAUUGGGGAUUGCAAUUAUUCCCCAUGAACGAGGAAUUCCCAGUAAGCGCGAGUCAUAAGCUCGCGUUGAUUACGUCCCUGCCCUUUGUACACACCGCCCGUCGCUACUACCGAUUGAAUGAUUUAGUGAGGUUUUCGGACCGGUACGCGGCAGCGUUUCGACGUCGCCGAUGUCGCUGGGAAGAUGACCAAACUUGAUCAUUUAGAGGAA
RNAcentral lists this ribosomal RNA (2036 nucleotides) under Promecognathus crassus. RNAcentral's name for it is "SSU rRNA". It matches the Rfam family "Eukaryotic small subunit ribosomal RNA". The record is from RNAcentral. Lineage: Eukaryota; Metazoa; Arthropoda; Insecta; Coleoptera; Carabidae.